GGAUGAACGCUGGCGGCGUGCCUAACACAUGCAAGUCGAACGGAGCUGCUUGAUGAAGUUUCGGAUGGAUUUAAAACAGCUUAGUGGCGACGGGUGAGUAACGCGUGGGUAACCUGCCUCACACUGGGGGAUAACAGUUAGAAAUAGCUGCUAAUACCGCAUAAGCGCACGGUUCCGCAUGGAACAGUGUGAAAAACUCCGGUGGUGUGAGAUGGACCCGCGUCUGAUUAGCCAGUUGCGGGGUAACGGCCCACCAAAGCGACGAUCAGUAGCCGGCCUGAGAGGGUGAACGGCCACAUUGGGACUGAGACACGGCCCAAACUCCUACGGGAGGCAGCAGUGGGGAAUAUUGCACAAUGGGGGAAACCCUGAUGCAGCGACGCCGCGUGAGUGAAGAAGUAUUUCGGUAUGUAAAGCUCUAUCAGCAGGGAAGAAAGUGACGGUACCUGAAUAAGAAGCCCCGGCUAACUACGUG
This 475-nucleotide ribosomal RNA is filed under the name uncultured bacterium. RNAcentral describes it as "bacterial SSU rRNA". It matches the Rfam family "Bacterial small subunit ribosomal RNA", at positions 27 to 507 of the family's 1533-position model. The record is from RNAcentral.